GACGAACGCUGGCGGCGUGCCUAACACAUGCAAGUUGAGCGACGAACCAGGGCUUGCCCUGGCGCAAAGCAGCGAACGGGUGAGUAACACGUGGGUAACCUACCCCAAUAACCGGGACAACCCGAGGAAACUCGGGCUAAUACCGGAUGUGCGCACUAGACUUCGGUGCAGUGCGUAAAGUAAGCUACGGCCUCCGUAUCGGAAGAGGCUCGCGGCCCGUUCGUUCGUUGGUGGGGUAACGGCUUACCAAGACGGCGAGGGGUAGCCGGUCGGAGCGGACGAUCCGCCACUGUGGGACUGAGACGAGGCCCAGACCUGGACGGGAGGCAGGAGCGGGGAACCUAGCGGAGGGCGCGAAGGCGAGACGUAGAAAAGGCGCGUGGGGGAAGACGGCCUUCGCGUUGUAAACCACUUUCAGGAGGGAGGAAGGAUGGGCGGUUAACAGCCGUCCGAACUGAAGGUACGUCAAAAAGAAGCCCCGGUUAACUACGU
RNAcentral lists this ribosomal RNA (492 nucleotides) under uncultured bacterium. Its description in RNAcentral is "partial 16S ribosomal RNA". It matches the Rfam family "Bacterial small subunit ribosomal RNA", at positions 28 to 506 of the family's 1533-position model. The record is from RNAcentral.